Molecule: long non-coding RNA, 3414 nt
Organism: Mytilus californianus (California mussel)
Lineage: Eukaryota; Metazoa; Mollusca; Bivalvia; Mytilida; Mytilidae
Exons: 2
Source: RefSeq, a predicted model, not a curated record
UUUAUAAAUAGUUUUGGUGACAUACCCCAGCUGAUAUCUAGGCAGUGGAUUUCCUUAUAUACUUUGCGACACCCAAGAUAAUGGCGAAUUAUCCUAUCAACGUAUAUACAAAUGUCUUCAGAGACGAUGUUGUAAAACUACAUCAACAGAUAGACGAUUUAGGAAAAGCUGGUCAGUGGUCUGAUCUUAUAGAAUUGUUGGAAAGUAGUGGCGACCUCGUGAAUUCAAGCAGACUUCCAGUGAAGGGAGAUAAUAAAGGUCCUACCUGGUUUACGCCUCUUCAUUACGCUUCUGACUUGGGUGCACCGGAGAACAUAUUUAAAGAUUUAAUACGAAUGGGGGCAUCGAAAUGUAUGAAGAAUGCUGAAGGUCAAACCGCUUAUGACAUUGCAAAAAGUAAAGGUCUUGAUAAGGUUAUAUUGGACCAAUUAAUGAUUCCAGAGAAAAUAAAACAAAAUGCCGCUGCAAUUGAGAAAAUGGAAAAAGGCUUACACGAAGUCAUCAAUGGUAGAGUUAAAGACUUGAUCAAGGGAAAUGGACAAGCUUUACCUCAAAUUUCUCUGUUAUUUGAACAUGGAAGUUUUUAUUAUCCUGUGCCUGGAAUGUAUGGCGGUUUUAAUAUUUGCGAACACGAAGAUGGCAUUCAAGCAGAUAGCUGGAUUCGUGUUUGUGGCGGAAGUGAGGAAAACCACGUGGUCAAUAUGGAAGGCAAAAUUACUUUAUUGCCAAAUGACAAUCCUAAUUAAUUACAUAGAAAUAAAAUUACCUCUAUAAUAGUAGUAGUCUAUAAAACAUGUUUAAUCCUCGUGCAAAUCAAAAUUGCGUACAAUGGGAGGCAACUCUCAUUGUACCUAAUUGAUAACGCCUUGUACGAAAUUGCCUCCCUUUGAUACUUUAUCCGGGUUUUAAUUACCAUGUGUGGUUUUAAGCAAAAGAGCAUGUUCCAGCCACUUUUCAUUAUGUAAUUGAUAUAAUUUUUUUUUUCUCUCUCCGUCUUUUUAUUGUAAAUUUUUCUAAUUACUUUUAUUAUACGACCGCAAAAAUUUUGCGGUCGUAUAUUGGUAUGACGUUGGCGUCGUCGUCGUCGUUGUCGUCGUCGUCGUCGUCGUCGUCGUCGUCGUCCGAAGACACAUUAGUUUUUGCACUAUAACUUUAGUUUAAGUGAAUGGAUCUCUAUGAAAUUUUACCAUAAGGUUCAAUACCACAAAAGGAAGGUUGGGAUUGAUUUUGGGGGUUAUGGUACCAACAGUUAAGGAAUUAGGGGCCAAAAAGGGGCCAAAAAUAAGCAUUUUUGUAACUUCCAGUCAAUAACUUGUGUGUAAGUGUAUGGAUCUCUCUGACAUUGUACCACAAGGUUCCAUAUCACAAAUAAAAGGCUGGAAUUGAUUUUGGGGGUAAUUGCCUCAAAAUUUUAGGAAUUAGGGGCAAAAAACAAGCAUUUUUCUAGUUUCAUGACAAUAACUUGUGUGUAAGUGUUUGGAUAUUUCUGAAAUUGUACUACAAGGUUCCAUAUCACAAAGGGAAAGCUGGAAUUGAGUUUGGGGGUAAUUGCCCGAAACUUUUAGGAAUUGGGGGCCAAAAAGGGGCCAAAAAUAAGCAUUUUUGUAGUUUCCAGAUAAUAACUUGUAUUCAAGUGUAUGGAUCUCUCUGAAAUUGUACUGCAAGGUACCAUACCACAAAGGGAAGGCUGGGAUUGAUGAUGGGGGUAAUUGCCUCAAUAUUUUAGGAAUUAGGGGCCAAAAAGGGGAAAAAACAAGCAUUUUUCUAGUUUCAGGACAAUAACUUGUGUGUAAGUGUAUGGAUCUUUCUGAAAUUGUACUACAAGGUUCCAUAUCACAAAGGGAAAGCUGGGUUUGAGUUUGGGGGUAAUUGCCCUAAACGUUUAGGAAUUUGGGGCCAAAAAACACAUGUUUCUAGUUUCCAGACAAUAACUUGUGUUCAAGUGUAUGGAUCUCUCUGAAAUUGUACUGCAAGGUACCAUACCACAAAGGGAAGGCUGGGAUUGAGUUUGGGGGUGAUGAAUCAUAAGGGGGUUCAAAAAUUUUGGGGGGGGAUUUUUUUUUUUUCAUUUUUUUUCUUUUUUUCCUUUUUUUUUUCUUUUAAAAUUUUCCAUUUUAAGUUGGUUAUUUCUGAUUUAUAUUUAAAAGCAAAUAAUAAUGAUAUGAUAGGAGAUACACACCAAACAGGAUGUGUAAAUUAUUAUAUAAUUACUAAGUAUUGUGCAAUAGCAAGAAAUUUUCAAUUGCACAGUAUUGCACAAUAGCAAGAAAUCUUCAAUUGCACAGUAUUGCGCAAUAGCAAGAAAUCUUCAAUUGCACAGUAUUGCGCAAUAGCAAGAAAUAUCCAAUAGCACAAUAUUGCGCAAUAGCAAGAAAUUGUCAAUUGUACAGUAUUGCGCAAUAGCAAGAAAUAUUCAAUUGCACAGUAUUGUGCAAAAGAAGAUACUUCAUAUAAAUUGCUUAUUUCUUGACCAAUUUCAAUGGGGUUUUAUUCUUGAAUUCUUGGGGUUCUUUAAUAUGCUGAUUCUAACCGUGUAUUAAGUUUUUGGAUUUUGGGCCCCGUUUUUAAAUUGGUCCACAUUGAGGUCCAAAGGGUCCAAAAUUAAACUUUGUUUGAUUUCAUCAAAAAUUGAAUUAUUGGGGUUCUUUGAUAUGCCGAAUCUAACCGUGUAUUUAGAUUCUUAAUUUUUGGUUCCGUUUUCAAAUGGGUCUACAUUAAGGUCCAAAGGGUCCAAAAUUAAACUUAGUUUGAUUUUAACAAAAAUUGAAUUCUUAGGGUUCUUUGAUAUGCUGAAUCUAAACAUGUAUUUAGAUUUCUGAUUAUGGGCCCAGUUUUCAAGUUGGUCCAAAUCGGGGUCCAAAAUUAAACUUUAUUUGAUUUCAACAAAAAUUGAAUAUAUGGGGUUCUUUGAUAUGCUGAAUCUAACCAUGUAUUUAGAUUUUUGAUUUUUGGGCCCCGUUAUCAACUUUGUCUACAUUGAGGUCAAAAGGGUCCAAAAUUAAACUUUGUUUGAUUUCAUCAAAAAUUGAAUUCUUGGGGUUCUUUGAUAUGCUGAAUCUAACCAUGUAUUUAGAUUUUGGAUAUUGGACCAUAAUAGGUGAAUGUCCAAUUUAAAUUUUUUAAGUUCUUAGACCACAUUCAUUCUGUGUCAGAAACCUAUGUUGUGUCAAAUAUUUAAUCACAAUCCAAAUUCAGAGCUGUAUCAAGCUUGAAUGUUGUGUCCAUACUUGCCCCAACUGUUCAGGGUUCGACCUCUGCGGUCGUAUCAAGCUGCGCCCUGCGGAGCAUUUUAUUAUUACCCACAUUGGGGUUCAGGUGCUUCAUAUUGACACUUUGUUCAUUGUAGCUUAUUGAUACCAUGCUUGGUAUAACUAUAUUUGAAUGCAUUAUUAUAAUAAAGCACCUUUCGCCAAA